UUAAGCGACUAAGCGUACACGGUGGAUGCCCUGGCAGUCAGAGGCGAUGAAGGACGUGCUAAUCUGCGAAAAGCGUCGGUAAGGUGAUAUGAACCGUUACAGCCGGCGAUGUCCGAAUGGGGAAACCCAGUGUGAUUCGUCACACUAUCGUUAACUGAAUACAUAGGUUAACGAGGCGAACCGGGGGAACUGAAACAUCUAAGUACCCCGAGGAAAAGAAAUCAACCGAGAUUCCCCCAGUAGCGGCGAGCGAACGGGGAGCAGCCCAGAGUCUGAAUCAGCUUGUGUGUUAGUGGAACGGUCUGGAAAGUCCGACGGUACAGGGUGAUAGUCCCGUACACCAAAAUGCACAGGUUGUGAACUCGAAGAGUAGGGCGGGACACGUGGUAUCCUGUCUGAAUAUGGGGGGACCAUCCUCCAAGGCUAAAUACUCCUGACUGACCGAUAGUGAACCAGUACCGUGAGGGAAAGGCGAAAAGAACCCCGGCGAGGGGAGUGAAAAAGAACCUGAAACCGUGUACGUACAAGCAGUGGGAGCACCUUUAUGGUGUGACUGCGUACCUUUUGUAUAAUGGGUCAGCGACUUAUAUUCUGUAGCAAGGUUAACCGUAUAGGGGAGCCGCAGGGAAACCGAGUCUUAACUGGGCGUUAAGUUGCAGGGUAUAGACCCGAAACCCGGUGAUCUAGCCAUGGGCAGGUUGAAGGUUGGGUAACACUAACUGGAGGACCGAACCGACUAAUGUUGAAAAAUUAGCGGAUGACUUGUGGCUGGGGGUGAAAGGCCAAUCAAACCGGGAGAUAGCUGGUUCUCCCCGAAAGCUAUUUAGGUAGCGCCUCGUGAACUCAUCUUCGGGGGUAGAGCACUGUUUCGGCUAGGGGGUCAUCCCGACUUACCAACCCGAUGCAAACUACGAAUACCGAAGAAUGUUAUCACGGGAGACACACGGCGGGUGCUAACGUCCGUCGUGAAGAGGGAAACAACCCAGACCGCCAGCUAAGGUCCCAAAGUCAUGGUUAAGUGGGAAACGAUGUGGGAAGGCACAGACAGCCAGGAUGUUGGCUUAGAAGCAGCCAUCAUUUAAAGAAAGCGUAAUAGCUCACUGGUCGAGUCGGCCUGCGCGGAAGAUGUAACGGGGCUAAACCAUGCACCGAAGCUGCGGCAGCGACACUAUGUGUUGUUGGGUAGGGGAGCGUUCUGUAAGCCUGCGAAGGUGGCCUGUGAGGGUUGCUGGAGGUAUCAGAAGUGCGAAUGCUGACAUAAGUAACGAUAAAGCGGGUGAAAAGCCCGCUCGCCGGAAGACCAAGGGUUCCUGUCCAACGUUAAUCGGGGCAGGGUGAGUCGACCCCUAAGGCGAGGCCGAAAGGCGUAGUCGAUGGGAAACAGGUUAAUAUUCCUGUACUUGGUGUUACUGCGAAGGGGGGACGGAGAAGGCUAUGUUAGCCGGGCGACGGUUGUCCCGGUUUAAGCAUGUAGGCGGAGGUUCCAGGUAAAUCCGGUACCUUUUAACGCUGAGGUGUGAUGACGAGGCACUACGGUGCUGAAGUAACAAAUGCCCUGCUUCCAGGAAAAGCCUCUAAGCAUCAGGUAACAUUAAAUCGUACCCCAAACCGACACAGGUGGUCAGGUAGAGAAUACCAAGGCGCUUGAGAGAACUCGGGUGAAGGAACUAGGCAAAAUGGUGCCGUAACUUCGGGAGAAGGCACGCUGGUGUGUAGGUGAAGUCCCUGCGGAUGGAGCUGAGACCAGUCGAAGAUACCAGCUGGCUGCAACUGUUUAUUAAAAACACAGCACUGUGCAAACACGAAAGUGGACGUAUACGGUGUGACGCCUGCCCGGUGCCGGAAGGUUAAUUGAUGGGGUUAUCCGUAAGGAGAAGCUCUUGAUCGAAGCCCCGGUAAACGGCGGCCGUAACUAUAACGGUCCUAAGGUAGCGAAAUUCCUUGUCGGGUAAGUUCCGACCCGCACGAAAGGUGUAACGA
Molecule: ribosomal RNA, 1980 nt
Filed under: human gut metagenome
Description: bacterial LSU rRNA
Rfam family: Bacterial large subunit ribosomal RNA
Source: RNAcentral